UUGCACGGUUGGAUUAGUGGCGAACGGGUGAGUAUCACGUGAGUAACCUUCCCUUAACUCUGGGAUAAGCCCGGGAAACUGGGUCUAAUACCGGAUACGACCAGUCCUCGCAUGGGGUGCUGGUGGAAAGAUUUAUCGGUUUUGGAUGGACUCGCGGCCUAUCAGCUUGUUGGUGAGGUAAAGGCUCACCAAGGCGAUGACGGGUAGCCGGCCUGAGAGGGUGACCGGCCACACUGGGACUGAGACACGGCCCAGACUCCUACGGGAGGCAGCAGUGGGGAAUAUUGCACAAUGGGCGAAAGCCUGAUGCAGCGACGCCGCGUGCGGGAUGACGGCCUUCGGGUUGUAAACCGCUUUCAGCAGGGAAGAAGCGCAAGUGACGGUACCUGCAGAAGAAGCGCCGGCUAACUACGUGCCAGCAGCCGCGGUAAUACGUAGGGCGCGAGCGUUAUCCGGAAUUAUUGGGCGUAAAGAGCUCGUAGGCGGUUUGUCACGUCUGCUGUGAAAGCCCGGGGCUCAACCCCGGGUGUGCAGUGGGUACGGGCAGACUAGAGUGCAGUAGGGGAGACUGGAAUUCCUGGUGUAGCGGUGAAAUGCGCAGAUAUCAGGAGGAACACCGAUGGCGAAGGCAGGUCUCUGGGCUGUUACUGACGCUGAGGAGCGAAAGCAUGGGGAGCGAACAGGAUUAGAUACCCUGGUAGUCCAUGCCGUAAACGUUGGGCACUAGGUGUGGGGGACAUUCCACGUUUUCCGCGCCGUAGCUAACGCAUUAAGUGCCCCGCCUGGGGAGUACGGCCGCAAGGCUAAAACUCAAAGGAAUUGACGGGGGCCCGCACAAGCGGCGGAGCAUGCGGAUUAAUUCGAUGCAACGCGAAGAACCUUACCAAGGCUUGACAUGGACCGGACCGCUGCAGAGAUGCAGUUUCCCUUCGGGGUCGGUUCACAGGUGGUGCAUGGUUGUCGUCAGCUCGUGUCGUGAGAUGUUGGGUUAAGUCCCGCAACGAGCGCAACCCCUAUCCUAUGUUGCCAGCACGUUAUGGUGGGGACUCAUGGGAGACUGCCGGGGUCAACUCGGAGGAAGGUGGGGACGACGUCAAAUCAUCAUGCCCCUUAUGUCUUGGGCUUCACGCAUGCUACAAUGGCCGGUACAAUGGGUUGCGAUACUGUGAGGUGGAGCUAAUCCCUAAAAGCCGGUCUCAGUUCGGAUCGAAGUCUGCAACUCGACUUCGUGAAGUUGGAGUCGCUAGUAAUCGCAGAUCAGCAA
Molecule: ribosomal RNA, 1264 nt
Filed under: Nesterenkonia sp. Act18
Lineage: Bacteria; Bacillati; Actinomycetota; Actinomycetes; Micrococcales; Micrococcaceae
Description: bacterial SSU rRNA
Rfam family: Bacterial small subunit ribosomal RNA
Source: RNAcentral